UUCAUGGCCCAACCAAAAGCAGGAGAUUAUUGGGAUCUGAUCUUACCUCACCACUCCCCAUUAUAAAAAUCUGCAGGGGUUAAGAUAGGAUAAGAUAAGAUACUAAUCCCUUGCAUAAUGCAAUGUGGGAGGGAGGGAGUCAGUCUAGAGAAUAAGAGGACAAGAUGAACAAGUCUUCGGAGUAAUCUCCGGGGAUCUCAAAGAUUCUUCUGCCCCUUCAAGUUUAUCUUCCAGAGCCAAGAGAAUUUAUUUGAAAACCCACUUGAAAUGAAAAAACCAUGAGGUUUACCUACAACACCAGCCCAUCUUGGAAUGAAAACCCACUUUGUUUUUGAGAAAAAAGGAGACAGGCCUGCAAUUCUAGGAGUGAUGGCAAGAGAUAAGAUGGGCAGGCAUGCAGGACAGCUUUAGGGGGACAGCAAAAGGCAGUCUUGAAAUCUGGCUCUCUCUCAAGUUUGCAGCUGCAGCACCACCCAACAGCACCACGAAAGGAGAGAAGAGACGACGGAUAGGUGGUAAUCUAGUGCCCUGGGGCUGCAACCCACCAUUGAUCUCUGGAGAUCCGAUAAGGAUCUCGAUAGCUGCAGGCCGUGUGUACGGUUUGUGAUAACCUAGUACAAUGAUACCCCAUUUCUUCUUGCAUUGGUGUAUACCAUAUUUUUUCCCUU
Long non-coding RNA from Panicum virgatum (switchgrass), 668 nucleotides. RefSeq lists it as uncharacterized. NCBI's taxonomy places the organism in Eukaryota, Viridiplantae, Streptophyta, Magnoliopsida, Poales, Poaceae. The transcript has 3 exons. The record is from RefSeq and is a predicted model, not a curated record.